CCUACGGGAGGCAGCAGUGAGGAAUAUUGGUCAAUGGGCGCAAGCCUGAACCAGCGACGCCGCGUGCGGGAUGAAGGGGCUUUGCCUCGUAAACCGCUGUCGGGUGGGACGAAAGGUAGCUUUGAGCUACUGGGACGGUACCAUCAAAGGAAGGAUCGGCUAACUACGUGCCAGCAGCCGCGGUAAUACGUAGGAUCCGAGCGUUGUCCGGAGUUACUGGGUGUAAAGGGUGCGUAGGCUGUUCUGUGCGUCAGAGGUGAAAUCCACGAGCUUAACUCGUGGGGUGCCUUUGAUACGGCAGGGCUUGAGUACGAGAGAGGUGCGUGGAAUUCCUGGUGUAGCAGUGAAAUGCGUAGAUAUCAGGAGGAACACCGGUGGCGAAGGCGGCGCACUGGCUCGUAACUGACGCUGAGGCACGAAAGCGUGGGGAUCAAACAGGAUUAGAUACCCUGGUAGUCCACGCCUUAAACGAUGCAUGCUUGGUGUUGGUCUCGCAAGAGAUCAGUGCCGUAGUUAACAUGAUAAGCAUGCCACCUGGGGAGUACGAUCGCAAGGUUGAAACUUAAAUGAAUUGACGG
Molecule: ribosomal RNA, 578 nt
Filed under: uncultured bacterium
Lineage: Bacteria
Description: bacterial SSU rRNA
Rfam family: Bacterial small subunit ribosomal RNA
Source: RNAcentral